GUAGGAGUGAGCCUGCUCGCGAUGACGGAAUGUCAGCCAACAUCAAUGUUGACUGGUUAACCGCAAUCGCGAGCAGGCUCACUCCUAC
RNAcentral lists this non-coding RNA (88 nucleotides) under Pseudomonas sp. GV085. Lineage: Bacteria; Pseudomonadati; Pseudomonadota; Gammaproteobacteria; Pseudomonadales; Pseudomonadaceae. The record is from RNAcentral.